RNAcentral lists this ribosomal RNA (494 nucleotides) under uncultured bacterium. RNAcentral's name for it is "partial 16S ribosomal RNA". It matches the Rfam family "Bacterial small subunit ribosomal RNA", at positions 28 to 507 of the family's 1533-position model. The record is from RNAcentral.
GACGAACGCUGGCGGCGCGCUUAACACACGCAAGUCGAACGGAAAGGCCUGCUUUCCCUUGUGGAUUGCGGGUACUCGAGUGGCGAACGGGUGAGUAACACGUGAGUGAUCUGCCCCCAACUUGGGUAUAAGCCUGGGAAACUGGGUCUAAUUCCCGAUAGGACUGCAGGGUGGUGCCUGUGGUGGAAAACGAUUUUCUAGUGGUUGGGGAUGAGCUCGCGGCCUAUCAGCUUGUUGGUGGGGUAAUGGCCUACCAAGGCGGCGACGGGUAGCCGGCCUGAGAGGGUGGACAGCCACAUUGGGACUGGGAUACGGCCCAGACUCCUACGGGAGGCAGCAGUGGGGAAUAUUGCACAAUGGGCGGAAGCCUGAUGCAGCGACGCCGCGUGGGGGAUGACGGCCUUCGGGUUGUAAACUCCUUUCGACCGCGAGGAAGCCACCUGGUUGGAAGGGUGGUGACGGUAGUGGUAGAAGAAGCACCGGCUAACUACGUG